AACCACCACGAAGAAAACUCGUUAUAUCGUUCCCAAUAGUGGUCGCGGCUACAUUGCAAGCAGCGUUGAACAAAGCCAACGAAAAAGGUUGGCUGCUUUUAAGGAUAAUUACAUAUUCAGCAUCUCCGGCCCCGGCUGUCCCGAUUCCAAAUUCGAAUUCGAGAUGCUCGCAUAGCCGCUGGGAGUGCGGGCACCCUUUAGCCAAUAGGAGACGGGCGAUGGUGAGGCCUCGACAUGACAUUCCAGUUGUACGUCGGAGCCGAGCGGUGUGCCUAACAAUUGACUUGGAGCGCGUACCAUGGGGGCAACUGAGAGAAGGCAAUACAAAUGUGAAAUUAGUUGUAAAGUUUUUAAAGUUAAUUAGUAAUUAAAUAAAUAUGUAAUAAAUAA
Bactrocera dorsalis (oriental fruit fly) is the source of this 390-nucleotide long non-coding RNA. RefSeq lists it as uncharacterized. Lineage: Eukaryota; Metazoa; Arthropoda; Insecta; Diptera; Tephritidae. The transcript is spliced from 2 exons. The record is from RefSeq and is a predicted model, not a curated record.